GAUCCUGGCUCAGAGUGAACGCUGGCGGCAGGCCUAAUACAUGCAAGUCGAACGGCAGCACAGCAGAGCUUGCUCUGUGGGUGGCGAGUGGCGGACGGGUGAGGAAUACGUGGGAAUCUGCCCAGUCGUGGGGGAUAACGUAGGGAAACUUACGCUAAUACCGCAUGCGCCCUUCGGGGGAAAGCCGGGGACCUUCGGGCCUGGCGCGAUUGGAUGAGCCCACGUCGGAUUAGCUAGUUGGCGGGGUAAAGGCCCACCAAGGCGACGAUCCGUAGCUGGUCUGAGAGGAUGAUCAGCCACACUGGAACUGAGACACGGUCCAGACUCCUACGGGAGGCAGCAGUAGGGAAUAUUGGACAAUGGGCGCAAGCCUGAUCCAGCCAUGCCGCGUGAGUGAAGAAGGCCCUCGGGUUGUAAAGCUCUUUUGUCCGGAAAGAAAAGCGCCGGGUUAAUACCCUGGUGUCCUGACGGUACCGGAAGAAUAAGCACCGGCUAACUUCGUG
RNAcentral lists this ribosomal RNA (503 nucleotides) under uncultured bacterium. RNAcentral describes it as "bacterial SSU rRNA". It matches the Rfam family "Bacterial small subunit ribosomal RNA", at positions 15 to 507 of the family's 1533-position model. The record is from RNAcentral.